CAAAGUGUAGCUUAACUAAAGCAUUCGGCUUACACCCGGAAGACUUCAUAUCACUAUGACCACUUUGA
RNAcentral lists this transfer RNA (68 nucleotides) under Mephitis macroura (hooded skunk). RNAcentral's name for it is "tRNA-Val". It matches the Rfam family "tRNA". From Rfam's summary of the family: Transfer RNA (tRNA) molecules are approximately 80 nucleotides in length. Lineage: Eukaryota; Metazoa; Chordata; Mammalia; Carnivora; Mephitidae. The record is from RNAcentral. RNAcentral also lists the same sequence under 1 other name.